CUGGUUUUGUGGUCCAGGGUCACACAUAGGCUAUCCACUACUCAGUGUCUAGGGAACAUUGAGCAUUGCGUGAAUCAGACGCAGCGAUGGUCAGCUCUAUUGUAAAGACUGAGGUGACCAGUGUGUCUGUGUCAAGUUCACUGUUCAGCCCACUGUGUUGCGUGUCGGAGAAUCUCGCUGCGUUCAGUUGUAGUGUGGGCGUAGCUGUGCCAUUGACGCUUGAUCGUUGCUGAGGGGGAUUGCCUCGCGAGUGGGCGGGAAACUGAGACCGCGAAAAAGCAAACAGUCAAGCGCGCUCUGUAGCGGAACGUUCUCGCGCGGUUACCAUGACGCUGAGAGUGGGUAAACGCCGCUCUGUCGCGCUGGCUCUGACCUCUGGGUUGGUAUUUGUUUGAGCUUCCAUUGGACCGUCAUCAUUGUCACCUUAACCUGAUUCCUACCCUUCAGGUCUGGAAUUAACAUCUGAUGUCUCAUCCACAAGAAGAUGAUUUAGGAUCCAGAUGAACCUAAACAGGUUUGAGGGAUGGGUCAUAAACUUGGCCAGAAUCACGUCUUGGCUGCUGGUUUGGGUGGAGGUGGAAAGAAGCGCUAUACAGCCAGCCUGAAUGUACCUGACGACCUCAGAGACCAGAGUCAAACAGAAACAGACUGGGUGGCAUAUAGUCAUUACAGCGCACACAGAUCAAGGCUUUAUGGGAAGGGAAAAUUUCAGCAGGGGCCCAGAGUUUCUGCCUAUGAGUGCUUUUAAAAAUACUGAACUGCUUUUUAGAGUCAGCUUGUGUAGGUGUAUCUAUUCCUGUAUACUUCUCUCUUGGUCAUGCUUUUUAAAAGAAUUUGUAUUUUAUAGUAACCCAAAUGUAUUUCUGUGUAAUGUGCAUAUCAGUGUUUCUCUUAAUUGCUUAUAUAUUUAUUUUCACAAUGUGUAUUCAUGUCAAUUCUGGAAUUUGCACUGGCGAUCUGGUUUUGUAUUACUUUAUUGGACACUGACAUGUUAAUUAAAAUAUUUUUCCCAA
Molecule: long non-coding RNA, 1013 nt
Organism: Cyprinus carpio carpio
Lineage: Eukaryota; Metazoa; Chordata; Actinopteri; Cypriniformes; Cyprinidae
Source: Ensembl